This 1701-nucleotide ribosomal RNA is filed under the name Limnichthys fasciatus (barred sand burrower). RNAcentral describes it as "16S ribosomal RNA". It matches the Rfam family "Bacterial large subunit ribosomal RNA". The record is from RNAcentral. Lineage: Eukaryota; Metazoa; Chordata; Actinopteri; Acropomatiformes; Creediidae.
CACCUACCAGCUAGCCGUAACAUUAAAAGCAAAAUAAACAAUAUUUAUAGCCCCACAAAUACUUACAUAAAUUUAAAUAAACCAUUUUCCACCCCUAGUACGGGCGACCAAAAAGGGACAACAGAGCAAUAGAGAAAGUACCGCAAGGGAAAGCUGAAAUAGCAGUGAAACAAGUCAGUGAAGUAAAGAAAAGCAGAGAUGAAACCUCGUACCUUUUGCAUCAUGAUUUAGCUAGAACGACGAAGCAAAGUGAACUUUAGUUUCUACCCCGAAACUAGGUGAGCUACCCCAGGACAGCCUUUCUUAGGGCGCACCCGUCUCUGUUGCAAAAGAGUGGGAAGAGCCUCGGGUAGAGGUGAAAAAUCUACCGGACCUAGUUAUAGCUGGUUGCCUGGGAAAUGGAUCUAGUUCAGCCUCUUGGUUUCUUAACUCCCACCCUCUUAUUAAGGGCUGAAGACGACAGAGAAUACCAUUAGAGUUAGUCGAAGGAGGUACAGCCCCUUCGACCAAAGAUACAACUUUUUAAGACGGCAAAAGAUCAUAGUCAUACAAGGAGACUGCUCAGGUGGGCCUAAAAGCAGCCACCCUAAAUGAAAGCGUCAAAGCUCAAGCAUAAGAAUAGCCUCUAAUUCCGAUAACUCACUCUUAACCCGCUCCUAAUACCACGCCAAUCUAUAUCAAUAGAAGAGAUUAUGCUAAUAUGAGUAAUAUGAAAACUACAACUUUCUCCCGCGCACAAGUGUACAUCAGAUCGGAUAAACCACUGAUAAUUAACGGCCCCAAGCAAAGAGGGCAUUAAACUAAAAAGAGAAUAACUAGAACUGCAUCUAACUAUUAAACCGUUUACCCCACACCGGAGUGCCACCCAGGGAAGACUAAAAGGAAGAGAAGGAACUCGGCAAACACCUAAAGCCUCGCCUGUUUACCAAAAACAUCGCCUCCUGCAAUACCUUGUAUAGGAGGUCAUGCCUGCCCCGUGACUUUAGUGUUUAACGGCCGCGGUAUCUUGACCGUGCGAAGGUAGCGUAAUCACCUGUCUUUUAAAUGAAGACCUGUAUGAAUGGCCUCACGAGGGCUUUACUGUCUCCUCUCCCCAGUCAAUGAAAUUGAUCUGCCCGUGCAGAAGCGGGCAUUGAAACAUUAGACGAGAAGACCCUAUGGAGCUUAAGACACAAAAUAGCUCGUACCACUACCUCACCACAAAGAGAUCUAACCUACCGACCUCCUAUUUAACGUCUUGGGUUGGGGCGACCAAGGGGAAAAGAAAAACCCCCUUGCGGAAUGGAAGCUUUUUACACCAAUAAUGUUUCCUAAAACACGAACAACCAUUCUAGUUAUCAGAAUUUUUGACCUAACGACCCGGCAAAGCCGAUCAACGAACCAAGUUACCCUAGGGAUAACAGCGCAAUCCCCUCUUAGAGUUCAUAUCGACGAGGGGGGUUACGACCUCGAUGUUGGAUCAGGACAUCCUAAUGGUGCAGCCACUAUUAAGGGUUCGUUUGUUCAACGAUUAAAGUCCUACGUGAUCUGAGUUCAGACCGGAGUAAUCCAGGUCAGUUUCUAUCUAUGCCAUGAUCUUUUCUAGUACGAAAGGACCGAAAAGAAGAAGCCCACUCCAAAGAGAGCUUCACCCCCACCUGCUGAAAUCAACUAAAAUAGUUAAGGGGGCAUAAGUAAUCCAAACCGCAGACAACGGUUCCU